RNAcentral lists this ribosomal RNA (397 nucleotides) under uncultured bacterium. Its description in RNAcentral is "bacterial SSU rRNA". It matches the Rfam family "Bacterial small subunit ribosomal RNA", at positions 64 to 507 of the family's 1533-position model. The record is from RNAcentral.
GAACGAGACCUUCGGGUCUAGUGGCGCACGGGUGCGUAACGCGUGGGAAUCUGCCCUGGGGUACGGAAUAACUCAGAGAAAUUUGAGCUAAUACCGUAUGAUGACGUAAGUCCAAAGAUUUAUCGCCCUGGGAUGAGCCCGCGUAGGAUUAGCUUGUUGGUGAGGUAAAGGCUCACCAAGGCGACGAUCCUUAGCUGGUCUGAGAGGAUGAUCAGCCACACUGGGACUGAGACACGGCCCAGACUCCUACGGGAGGCAGCAGUGGGGAAUAUUGGACAAUGGGCGAAAGCCUGAUCCAGCAAUGCCGCGUGAGUGAUGAAGGCCUUAGGGUUGUAAAGCUCUUUUACCCGGGAAGAUAAUGACUGUACCGGGAGAAUAAGCUCUGGCUAACUCCGUG